This 2241-nucleotide long non-coding RNA is filed under the name Manacus vitellinus (golden-collared manakin). RNAcentral describes it as "lncRNA (ENSMVIG00005006855.1)". The record is from RNAcentral. Lineage: Eukaryota; Metazoa; Chordata; Aves; Passeriformes; Pipridae.
UGUCCCCGAGCUUUGGGACACUCCUGUCCCCGGUGAUGUCCCCCGGGGUGGUGCCACCCCUGUCCCCGAGCUUUGGGACGUCCCUGUCCCCGAGGUUGGUGACAUCCCUGUCCCACAUGUCCCUCAGGGCGGUGACACCCCGGUACCCAAUGUCCCCAAUGUCCCCAGGAGCUGGGACACCCCUGUCCCCAAUGUCCCCAAGGUUUGGGACACCCCUGUCCCCGAUGUCCUUGUCCCCAAGGUCUGGGACAUCCCUGCCACCCCUGUCCCUGUCCCAGAAGUCCUUCAGGGUGGUGACAUCCCUGUCCCCAAGGUCUGGGACAUCCCUGUCCCCAGUGUCCUUGUCCCCAGAGCCCGGGAUGUCCCCCAGAGCUGUGACCUCCCUGUCACCCCCGUCCCUGUCCCAGAAGUCCCUCAGGGCUGUGACAUCCCUGUCCCUGAUGUCCUUGUCCCCAAAGUCUGGGACACCCCUGUCCCCGAUGUCCUUGUCCCCGAUGUCCCUCAGGGCUGUGACAUCCCUGUCCCUGAUGUCCUUGUCCCCAAAGUCUGGGACACCCCUGUCCCCGAUGUCCUUGUCCCCGAUGUCCCUCAGGGCUGGGACAUCCCUGUCCCUAAGGUUUGGGACAUCCCUGUCCCCAGUGUCCUUGUCCCCGAUGUCCCUCAGGGCGGUGACAUCCCUGUCCCUAAGGUUUGGGACAUCCCUGUCCCCGAUGUCCUUGUCCCCGAUGUCCCUCAGGGCGGUGACAUCCCUGUCCUUCAUGUCCCUUGGGAUGGUGACAUCCCCGUCCCCAAAGUCUGGGACACCCCUGUCCCCGCUGUCCCCAAGGUCCCAAACAUCCCCAAUGACCCCCAUGUCCCCAACGUCCCCGAGGGCCUCAAUGUCCCCAGUGUCCUGGAUGUCCCCAACGUUCUCAAUGUCCCCGACGUCAUUGAUGCCCCCCACGUCCCCCGUGUCCCCAAGAUCCUCGAUGUCCCCAAUGCUAUUGACGUCCUCCAUGUCCCCAGGGGCCUCCAUGUCCCCAGGGGCCUCCAUGUCCCCAACGUCCCCGAUGUCCCCAACGUCCCCGAUGUCCCCAACGUCCCCGAUGUCCCCGAGGUCCUUCAUGUCCCAAAUAUCUUCUCUGUCCUUGACUCCCUCGAUGUUCUUGAUGUCCCCAACGUCCCCGACGUUCUCCAUGUCCUCAAGGUCCCCAAGAUCCUCGAUGUCCCCGAGAUCCUUGAUGUCCCCAAGGUCCUUCAUGUCCCCAAGGUCAUCGAUGUCCCCAAGGUCCUGGAUGUCCCCAAGGUCCUGGAUGUCCCCAAGACUGUCCUGGACAUCCCCGAGGUUGUCCUGGAUGUCCCCAGGGUUGUCCUGGAUGUCCUGGAUGUCCCCAAGGUCCUGGAUGUCCUUAAGGUUGUCCUGGAUGUCCCCAAAGUUUUCCUGGAUGUCCCCAGGGUUGUCCUGGAUGUCCUUAAGGUUGUCCUGGAUGUCCUGGAUGUCCCCAGGGCUGUCCUGGAUGUCCUGGAUGUCCCCAGGGUUGUCCUGGAUGUCCCCAGGGUUGUCCUGGAUGUCCUGGAUGUCCCCAAGACUGUCCUGGAUGUCCCCAAGGUCUUGGAUGUCCCCAAUGUCCUGGAUGUCCUGGAUGUCCUUAAGGUUGUCCUGGAUGUCCUGGAUGUCCCCAAGGUCCUGGAUGUCCCCAAGACUGUCCUGGAUGUCCCCAGGGUUGUCCUGGAUGUCCCCAAUGUCCUGGAUGUCCUGGAUGUCCUGGAUGUCCCCCCUGUCCUCUCUGUCGGUGGCGGUGAUGGUGAUGGUGACGCCGCCGGCCCAGGGGGUGACCGGAGUGACCACAGUGACCGGAGUGACCUCAGUGACCGCAGUGACCUCAGUGACCGGAGUGACCUCAGUGACCGGAGUGACCGUGGGGACCGCAGUGACCUCAGUGACCUCAGUGUCCGCAGUGACCUCAGUGACCGGAGUGACCUCAGUGACCGCAGUGACCGUGGGGACGGCAGUGACCACAGUGACCUCAGUGACCGCAGUGACCACAGUGACCGGAGUGGCCUCAGUGACCUCAGUGUCCGCAGUGACCGCAGUGACCUCAGUGACCUCAGUGACCUCAGUGACCUCAGUGACCGGAGUGACCUCAGUGACUGUAGUGACCUCAGUGACCGCAGUGUCCAGAGUGACCGCAGUGACCUCAGUGACCUCAGUGCCCCCCCGGUCCCCGUCACCCCCCCAGCGGGGCGGGGGGUCCUCGGGGG